UAAAGUUGUUGCAGUUAAAAAGCUCGUAGUUGCAUCUCGGGAUCAGCUGGUCGGUCUUGCCACUGGUAUGUACUAGCUUGCUGAUUCCGCCUUCUUGAAGAACCAUAAUGCCAUUAAUUUGGUGUUGCGGGGAAACAGGACAGUUACUUUGAAAAAAUUAGAGUGUUUAAAGCAGGCCAGCGCCUGAAUACAUUAGCAUGGAAUAAUGAAAUAGNACGUUCGAACCUAUUUUGUUGGUUUCUAGGAUUUACGUAAUGAUUAAUAGGG
This 267-nucleotide ribosomal RNA is filed under the name uncultured Glomus. Its description in RNAcentral is "partial small subunit ribosomal RNA". It matches the Rfam family "Eukaryotic small subunit ribosomal RNA", at positions 605 to 877 of the family's 1831-position model. Lineage: Eukaryota; Fungi; Glomeromycota; Glomeromycetes; Glomerales; Glomeraceae. The record is from RNAcentral.